CAGUCGCCACGGUAAUACAGAGGGUGCGAGCGUUAAUCGGAUUUACUGGGCGUAAAGCGUGUGUAGGUUGUUGUUCAAGUCAGUUGUGAAAUCCCUGGGCUCAACCUGGGAACUGCUUCUGAGACUGAACGACUAGAGUACGGUAGAGGGUGGUGGAAUUUCCGGUGUAGCGGUGAAAUGCGUAGAUAUCGGAAGGAACAUCAAUGGCGAAGGCAGCCACCUGGGCCUGUACUGACACUGAGACACGAAAGCGUGGGGAUCAAACAGGAUUAGAUACCCGGGUAGUCCCUGUCUCUUAUAC
RNAcentral lists this ribosomal RNA (301 nucleotides) under uncultured bacterium. RNAcentral describes it as "partial 16S ribosomal RNA". It matches the Rfam family "Bacterial small subunit ribosomal RNA", at positions 509 to 807 of the family's 1533-position model. The record is from RNAcentral.